CCCGGGCGCAGGGGCUGGAUCCGGGGCGGGGGACUGAGGGGUGCCUGGGAGACCGCGUCCCGGCUGCAGGCGCAGCUGCCCCUGCCCCAGCUACCCCAGAACCGUGGGAAAGGCGCUGCCGCGGGAGGGAGCGGGCGGGCUGGGGGCGCGGCAGGAAGGAAAGGCGUCCCAGCAGGAACUUCUCCUGAUUACACUGAUGCUGCAGGUCCUUGGCAGACCAGGUGGCGAGGCUCUGAGGCACUGGAGUCCAAAUGAGGCUGGAGUCCCAUUCUCAGAGAUUCUGGUCCUUGGGUGAGGUCUGGGAAUAUGCAAUAUUUUUAAAACACAGUGCCUCUGCAGUGGUAACUAGACAAGAUUGGGAAGUUUCAAGAUGAUUCAAACCUCCAGCACCUCACAGGAAUCCACAUUUCUUAA
This is a long non-coding RNA of Sapajus apella (tufted capuchin), 414 nucleotides long. RefSeq lists it as uncharacterized. The record is from RefSeq and is a predicted model, not a curated record. The transcript has 3 exons. Lineage: Eukaryota; Metazoa; Chordata; Mammalia; Primates; Cebidae.